RNAcentral lists this ribosomal RNA (460 nucleotides) under uncultured bacterium. RNAcentral describes it as "partial 16S ribosomal RNA". It matches the Rfam family "Bacterial small subunit ribosomal RNA", at positions 338 to 795 of the family's 1533-position model. The record is from RNAcentral.
CCUACGGGAGGCUGCAGUGAGGAAUAUUGGUCAAUGGGCGCAAGCCUGAACCAGCCAAGUCGCGUGAGGGAGGACGGCUCUACGGGUUGUAAACCUCUUUUUCCGGGGAGCAACGGGCGUCACGUCUGGCGCCACUGAGAGUACCCGAAGUACCAGCAUCGGCAAACUCCGUGCCAGCAGCCGCGGUAAUCCGGGGUAGGAGAGGGUUAUACGGAUUUAUUGGGUUUAUGGGUUGCGUAGGCGGAUCGUUAAGUCAGUGGUAAAAUUGCGGGGCUCAACCCCUUCCCGCCAUUGAAACUGGCGUUCUUGAGUGGAAGAGAAGCAUGCGGAAUGCGUGGUGUAGCGGUGAAAUGCAUAGAUAUCACGCAGAACCCCGGUUGCGAAGGCAGCAUGCCGGCUUACGACUGACGCUGAAGCACGAAAGCGUGGGGAGCGAACAGGAUUAGAUACCCCGGUAGUC